This 497-nucleotide ribosomal RNA is filed under the name uncultured bacterium. RNAcentral describes it as "partial 16S ribosomal RNA". It matches the Rfam family "Bacterial small subunit ribosomal RNA", at positions 28 to 507 of the family's 1533-position model. The record is from RNAcentral.
GAUGAACGCUGGCGGCGUGCCUAAUACAUGCAAGUCGAGCGAACGGACGAGAAGCUUGCUUUUCUGAUGUUAGCGGCGGACGGGUGAGUAACACGUGGAUAACCUACCUAUAAGACUGGGAUAACUUCGGGAAACCGGAGCUAAUACCGGAUAAUAUUUUGAACCGCAUGGUUCAAACGUGAAAGACGGUCUUGCUGUCACUCAUAGAUGGAUCCGCGCUGCAUUAGCUAGUUGGUAAGGUAACGGCUUACCAAGGCAACGAUGCAUAGCCGACCUGAGAGGGUGAUCGGCCACACUGGAACUGAGACACGGUCCAGACUCCUACGGGAGGCAGCAGUAGGGAAUCUUCCGCAAUGGGCGAAAGCCUGACGGAGCAACGCCGCGUGAGUGAUGAAGGUCUUCGGAUCGUAAGACUCUGUUAUUAGGGAAGAACAUAUGUGUAAGUAACUGUGCACAUCGUGACGGUACCUAAUCAGAAAGCCACGGCUAACUACGUG